CUCCUUCUUUCUCUGGCAACCCCACGUCGAUGAACACGCGACGUGGAUAGCCCUCCAGUGAAUCGCCCAUUAAAUCAGGCAGAUACCUUGUCUUUUUCAAGUAUCGUCUUGACUUGCCUGAAGCUGCUCGUGGGGGUUCUAAGAGCACAUCUUCCAGGUUCUUUAGUGCAGCCUUUCGUGCCUCAGUUCUAUAUGCAAGGAGCUUCCUU
Molecule: unclassified non-coding RNA, 209 nt
Filed under: Hevea brasiliensis (rubber tree)
Lineage: Eukaryota; Viridiplantae; Streptophyta; Magnoliopsida; Malpighiales; Euphorbiaceae
Source: RNAcentral